CCUACGGGAGGCAGCAGUGAGGAAUAUUGGUCAAUGGACGAGAGUCUGAACCAGCCAAGUAGCGUGAAGGAUGACUGCCCUAUGGGUUGUAAACUUCUUUUAUAUGGGAAUAAAACGUUCCACGUGUGGGAUUUUGUAUGUACCAUAUGAAUAAGGAUCGGCUAACUCCGUGCCAGCAGCCGCGGUAAUACGGAGGAUCCGAGCGUUAUCCGGAUUUAUUGGGUUUAAAGGGAGCGUAGGUGGAUUGUUAAGUCAGUUGUGAAAGUUUGUGGCUCAACCGUAAAAUUGCAGUUGAAACUGGCAGUCUUGAGUACAGUAGAGGUGGGCGGAAUUCGUGGUGUAGCGGUGAAAUGCUUAGAUAUCACGAAGAACUCCGAUUGCGAAGGCAGUUCACUGGACUGCAACUGACACUGAGGCUCGAAAGUGUGGGUAUCAAACAGGAUUAGAUACCCCGGUAGUC
Molecule: ribosomal RNA, 460 nt
Filed under: uncultured bacterium
Lineage: Bacteria
Description: partial 16S ribosomal RNA
Rfam family: Bacterial small subunit ribosomal RNA
Source: RNAcentral